UUGUAUCAAUAUGGCAUAUUGAUAGUGACAGUUAAGGUUAACUCUAUCAUCAAUUGGUUGUCAUCAUCAAAAAGGGGGAGAUUGUUGAAUCUCAUAUUUUGAAGAUUAAAGCAAUUGAUAGUGUUUAUGAUUUGAUCUAUGUUUUGAGUGAUGCAGGAAGCUUCGAUCAAGGAGAGACAAUUAAAGCAGGAAGAAUCAUGUUGGGUCGGAGAAAAACAUGUCAGAAGAUUGGACGUCGAGCUAGAGGUUCGGUCGAUGUAUCGGUAGAAGGCUUAGGGCCAUGGGUUCAAGCAUCGGGCCAAGAAGAGCAAAAAUUAUGCCAAGAAAAUUGGGGUUGCG
Molecule: long non-coding RNA, 339 nt
Filed under: Musa acuminata (dwarf banana)
Lineage: Eukaryota; Viridiplantae; Streptophyta; Magnoliopsida; Zingiberales; Musaceae
Description: long non-coding RNA (MACU_LNC009590)
Source: RNAcentral